CUAGCGGCGGACGGGUGAGUAAUGCUUAGGAAUCUGCCUAUUAGUGGGGGACAACAUUCCGAAAGGAAUGCUAAUACCGCAUACGCCCUACGGGGGAAAGCAGGGGAUCUUCGGACCUUGCGCUAAUAGAUGAGCCUAAGUCAGAUUAGCUAGUUGGUGGGGUAAAGGCCUACCAAGGCGACGAUCUGUAGCGGGUCUGAGAGGAUGAUCCGCCACACUGGGACUGAGACACGGCCCAGACUCCUACGGGAGGCAGCAGUGGGGAAUAUUGGACAAUGGGCGAAAGCCUGAUCCAGCCAUGCCGCGUGUGUGAAGAAGGCCUUUUGGUUGUAAAGCACUUUAAGCGAGGAGGAGGCUACUUGGAUUAAUACUCUAGGAUAGUGGACGUUACUCGCAGAAUAAGCACCGGCUAACUCUGUGCCAGCAGCCGCGGUAAUACAGAGGGUGCGAGCGUUAAUCGGAUUUACUGGGCGUAAAGCGUGCGUAGGCGGCUUCUUAAGUCGGAUGUGAAAUCCCUGAGCUUAACUUAGGAAUUGCAUUCGAUACUGGGAAGCUAGAGUAUGGGAGAGGAUGGUAGAAUUCCAGGUGUAGCGGUGAAAUGCGUAGAGAUCUGGAGGAAUACCGAUGGCGAAGGCAGCCAUCUGGCCUAAUACUGACGCUGAGGUACGAAAGCAUGGGGAGCAAACAGGAUUAGAUACCCUGGUAGUCCAUGCCGUAAACGAUGUCUACUAGCCGUUGGGGCCUUUGAGGCUUUAGUGGCGCAGCUAACGCGAUAAGUAGACCGCCUGGGGAGUACGGUCGCAAGACUAAAACUCAAAUGAAUUGACGGGGGCCCGCACAA
RNAcentral lists this ribosomal RNA (841 nucleotides) under Acinetobacter sp. RNAcentral's name for it is "bacterial SSU rRNA". It matches the Rfam family "Bacterial small subunit ribosomal RNA", at positions 92 to 928 of the family's 1533-position model. The record is from RNAcentral. Lineage: Bacteria; Pseudomonadati; Pseudomonadota; Gammaproteobacteria; Moraxellales; Moraxellaceae.